This 958-nucleotide ribosomal RNA is filed under the name Geastrum saccatum. RNAcentral's name for it is "eukaryotic LSU rRNA". It matches the Rfam family "Eukaryotic large subunit ribosomal RNA", at positions 1 to 940 of the family's 3401-position model. The record is from RNAcentral. Lineage: Eukaryota; Fungi; Basidiomycota; Agaricomycetes; Geastrales; Geastraceae.
UUUGACCUCAGAUCAGGCAGGACUACCCGCUGAACUUAAGCAUAUCAAUAAGCGGAGGAAAAGAAACUAACAAGGAUUCCCYUAGUAACGGCGAGUGAAGAGGGAAGAGCUCAAAUUUGAAAUCUGGCGGCCUACGGUCGUCCGAGUUGUAAUCUAGAGAAGUGUUUUCCGCGCUGGACCGUGUACAAGUCCUUUGGAACAAGGCGUCAUAGAGGGUGAGAAUCCCGUCUACGACACGGACUACCAGUGCUCUGUGAUACACUCUCAACGAGUCGAGUUGUUUGGGAAUGCAGCUCAAAAUGGGUGGUAAAUUCCAUCUAAAGCUAAAUACGGGCGAAAGACCGAUAGCGAACAAGUACCGUGAGGGAAAGAUGAAAAGCACUUUGGAAAGAGAGUUAAAAAGUACGUGAAAUUGUUGAAAGGGAAACGCUUGAAGUCAGUCGCGUCUUCAGAAAUUCAGCCUGGCUUCUGCCUGGUGUACUUUUCUGUUGGACGGGCCAGCAUCGGUUUCGGCCGCCAGAAAAAGGUGGGAGGAAGGUGGCACCUCCGGGUGUGUUAUAGCCUCUCAUCGUAUGUGGCGGCUGGGACCGAGGACCGCAGCACGCCUUUAUGGCCGGGGUUCGCCCACGUAACGUGCUUAGGAUGCUGGCGUAAUGGCUUUAAGCGACCCGUCUUGAAACACGGACCAAGGAGUCUAACAUGCCUGCGAGUAUUUGGGUGGAAAACCCACAUGCGGAAUGAAAGUGAACAGUUGGGACUUCUGUCAUGGAAGGCACCGACGCCCGGACCAGACCUACUGUGACGGAUCCGAGGUAGAGCAUGUAUGUUGGGACCCGAAAGAUGGUGAACUAUGCCUGAGUAGGGUGAAGCCAGAGGAAACUCUGGUGGAGGCUCGUAGCGAUUCUGACGUGCAAAUCGAUCGUCGAACUUGGGUAUAGUGGCGAAAGUCUAAUCGAAC